GCUCGGUAGCCUAGUGGUCAUGGUCACAGACUCGUCGUUAUUUCCGUCGAGUCGAAGGUUCAAGCCCUGCCGUGCAGCA
This is a non-coding RNA of Nephila pilipes (giant wood spider), 79 nucleotides long. The record is from the annotation of a GenBank genome assembly. NCBI's taxonomy places the organism in Eukaryota, Metazoa, Arthropoda, Arachnida, Araneae, Nephilidae.